RNAcentral lists this small nuclear RNA (119 nucleotides) under Tetrahymena thermophila. RNAcentral's name for it is "snRNA U5-1". The record is from RNAcentral. Lineage: Eukaryota; Ciliophora; Oligohymenophorea; Hymenostomatida; Tetrahymenidae.
AAACCCAUAAAAUCAAAAAAAGAUAUUUGCUAUAAAUAAUUAAAAGUCGCUGCAUAACGAAAGCCUUUCACCACCCUUUAAAUAAUCAAACAAAAACUCAAUCUCUUUUCUUAAAAAAU